GACGAACGCUGGCGGCGUGCUUAACACAUGCAAGUCGAACGAAGUGGCGAACGGGUGAGUAACGCGUAAUCAACCUGCCCUUCAGCGGGGGACAACAGUUGGAAACGACUGCUAAUACCGCAUACUGAAGGAGGGGAUUGCGUCGUAUUAGCUAGUUGGUGGGGGAACGGCCCCACAAGGCGAUGAUCAGUAGCCGGUCUGGGAGGAGGAACGGCUAACUUGGGACUGAGACACGGCCCAGACGCCUACGGGAGGCAGCGGUGGGGAAGCUUCCGCAAUGGACGAAAGUCUGACGGAGCAACGCCGCGUGAGUGAUGACGGCCUUCGGGUUGUAAAGCUCUGUUAAUCGGGACGCGGUACCGGAAUAGAAAGCCACGGCUAACUACGUGCCAGCAGCCGCGGUAAUAC
This 408-nucleotide ribosomal RNA is filed under the name uncultured bacterium. RNAcentral describes it as "partial 16S ribosomal RNA". It matches the Rfam family "Bacterial small subunit ribosomal RNA", at positions 28 to 526 of the family's 1533-position model. The record is from RNAcentral.